This 164-nucleotide small nuclear RNA is filed under the name Microcebus murinus (gray mouse lemur). Its description in RNAcentral is "U1 spliceosomal RNA (ENSMICG00000038525.2)". It matches the Rfam family "U1 spliceosomal RNA". Rfam says of the family: U1 is a small nuclear RNA (snRNA) component of the spliceosome (involved in pre-mRNA splicing). The record is from Rfam by way of RNAcentral. Lineage: Eukaryota; Metazoa; Chordata; Mammalia; Primates; Cheirogaleidae.
AUACUCACCUGGCAGAGGAGAUACCAUGGGUGGUUUUCCCAGGGCAAGAUUUAUCCAUUGUGUUCCGGAUGUGCUGACCCCUGCAAUUUCCCCAGGUGUUGGAAACUCAACUGCAUAAUUUGUGGUGGUGGUGGUGGGGGGGACUGUGUUUGUACUCUCCCUUG